Molecule: ribosomal RNA, 1512 nt
Filed under: Candidatus Hodgkinia cicadicola
Lineage: Bacteria; Pseudomonadati; Pseudomonadota; Alphaproteobacteria; Hyphomicrobiales
Description: bacterial SSU rRNA
Rfam family: Bacterial small subunit ribosomal RNA
Source: RNAcentral
CGAGCUUGAUCCUGGCUCAGAACGAAUGCUGGCGGCAGGCCUAACACAUGCAAGUCGAGCGAACGACCAACAACAGGUUGUUAGCGGCAAACGGGUGAGUAACACGUGAGAAUCUACCUUGUUCAACGGGAUAGCUUAAGGAGACUUAAGGUAAUAACGUAUGAUUCCCGCAACGGGUAAAUGAAUAUUUCGGAACAAGAUGAGCUUGCGGUAGAUUAGCUAGUUGGUGGGGUAAAAGCCUACCAAGGCAUAGAUCUAUAGCUGGUCUGAGAGGACAAACAGCCACAUUGGGACUGAGACAAGGCCCAGACCUCUACGGAGGGCAGCAGUGAGGAAUAUUGGACAAUGGGCUAACGCCUGAUCCAGCCAUGCCGCAUGAGUGAUUAUGAAGAUCUUCGGAUUGUAAAACUCUUAAGCUGAUUAUUAAUAUGUGAUAAUAUCAGUUAAAGCUCCGGCCAACUUCGUGCCAGCAGCCGCGGUAAUACGAGGGGAGCGAGUGUUGUUCGGUUUUAUUGGGCGUAAAGAGCAUUUAGGCUGUUCUAUAAGUUGACAAUCAAAUCUUGGAACUUAAGUCCAUGGCGGUUGUCAAGACUGUUUAACUAAGAACUUGGUGGGGAUGAUCAUUAUUCCAAGUGUAGAGGUGAAAUUCGUUGAUAUUUGGAGGAGUACCAAAGGCGGAGGCAGAUCAUCAUGCUAAGUUGACGCUGAAAGUGCGAAAGCAUGGGGAGCAAACAGGAUUAGAUACCCUGGUAGUCCAUGCCCUAAACGAUGAGUGCCAACAGUUAAGCGAUUAUAUGUUCGGGCAUAUGUCUCGUUCCAUAUUUCGUUGAUUGUACAGCUAACGCGUUAAGCACUCCGCCUGGGGAUUACGACCGCAAGGUUAAAACUUAAAGGAAUUGACGGAGACCCGCACAAGCGGUGGAGCACGUGGUUUAAUUCGAAGCUACACGAAGAACCUUACCAGCCCUUGACAUUUUUGGUUAAACCUGUUGGAAACAACAUGCCGCUUACAACAAAGUAAGAAGACCCUGAACAGGUGCUGCAUGGCUGUUGUCAGCUCGUGUCGUGAGAUGUAUGGUUAAGUUCCAUAACGAGCACAACCCUCUCUCAUAGUUGCCGAAACCAAACAAUGAGUGGCUCUCUAUGAGGACUGCCAACGUAAGUUGGAGGAAGGAGAGGAUCACAACAAGUCAUCAUGGCCCUUAUGGGCUGGGCUACACACGUGCUACAAUGGCAACUACAAAGAGCCGCAACACCGUGAGGUAGAGCAAAUCUCAAAAAGUUGUCUUAGUUCGGAUUGUACUCUGCAACUCGAGUACAUGAAGUAGGAAUCGCUAGUAAUCGUGGAUCAGCAUGCCACGGUGAAUACGUUCCCGGGUCUUGUACACACCGCCCGUCACACCAUGGAAGUUCAUCCCGUUUCAAGUUCCCUACAAGGAACGUAGAUGGGGUUAGUGACCGAGGUGAAGUCGUAACAAGGUAGCCGUAGGUGAACCUGUGGCUGAAAGUAAC